This 331-nucleotide unclassified non-coding RNA is filed under the name soil metagenome. RNAcentral's name for it is "partial contains 5.8S ribosomal RNA, internal transcribed spacer 2, and large subunit ribosomal RNA". The stretch from base 1 to 120 matches the Rfam family "5.8S ribosomal RNA", at positions 35 to 154 of the family's 154-position model. The record is from RNAcentral.
GAUGAAGAACGUAGCGAAAUGCGAUACGUAAUGUGAAUUGCAGAAUUCAGUGAAUCAUCGAGUCUUUGAACGCACAUUGCGCCCCCUGGUAUUCCGGGGGGCAUGCCUGUUCGAGCGUCAUUUCACCACUCAAGCCUCGCUUGGUAUUGGGCAACGCGGUCCGCCGCGUGCCUCAAAUCGUCCGGCUGGGUCUUCUGUCCCCUAAGCGUUGUGGAAACUAUUCGCUAAAGGGUGUUCGGGAGGCUACGCCGUAAAACAACCCCAUUUCUAAGGUUGACCUCGGAUCAGGUAGGGAUACCCGCUGAACUUAAGCAUAUCAAUAAGCGGAGGA